GGCAGCAUAUCGCUUCGGUGAUGAUGGCGACCGGCGCACGGGUGAGUAUCGCGUUUGCAACCUACCUUUAACUGGGGGAUAGCCCGAAGAAAUUCGGAUUAAUACCCCAUAAUAUUUAGACAUGGCAUCAUGUCUUCAUUAAAGCUCCGGCGGUUAAAGAUGGGCAUGCGUGACAUUAGUUUGUUGGUGAGGUAACGGCUCACCAAGACUACGAUGUCUAGGGGGUCUGAGAGGAUGAUCCCCCACACUGGUACUGAGACACGGACCAGACUCCUACGGGAGGCAGCAGUGAGGAAUAUUGGGCAAUGGACGCAAGUCUGACCCAGCCAUGCCGCGUGCAGGAUGACGGCGCUAUGCGUUGUAAACUGCUUUUAUACAGGAAGAAACCCUUCUACGUGUAGAAGGUUGACUGUACUGUAAGAAUAAGCAUCGGCUAACUCCGUGCCAGCAGCCGCGGUAAUACGGAGGAUGCAAGCGUUAUCCGGAUUCAUUGGGUUUAAAGGGUGCGCAGGCGGGGCAAUAAGUCAGUGGUGAAAUCCUGCGGCUUAACCGUAGAACUGCCAUUGAUACUGUUGCCCUUGAGUAUAGUUGAGGUGGGCGGAAUAUGUAAUGUAGCGGUGAAAUGCAUAGAUAUUACAUAGAACACCAAUUGCGAAGGCAGCUCACUAAACUAUCACUGACGCUGAGGCACGAAAGCGUGGGGAGCGAACAGGAUUAGAUACCCUGGUAGUCCACGCCGUAAACGAUGAUCACUCGUUGUUGGCAAUAUAUCGUCAGCGACUGAGCGAAAGCAUUAAGUGA
RNAcentral lists this ribosomal RNA (801 nucleotides) under uncultured bacterium. Its description in RNAcentral is "bacterial SSU rRNA". It matches the Rfam family "Bacterial small subunit ribosomal RNA", at positions 68 to 867 of the family's 1533-position model. The record is from RNAcentral.